GUUGUAUGGUUAAGUGACUAAGCGUACACGGUGGAUGCCUUGGCAGUUGGAGGCGAUGAAGGACGUAUUAACUUGCGAUAAGCUUAGUCGAGCUAGUAAAAAGCACUUGAGACUARGAUUUCCGAAUGGGGAAACCCACCUGCUUGCAGGUAUCGUUAACUGAAUACAUAGGUUAACGAGGCGAACGCGGAGAACUGAAACAUCUAAGUACCCGUAGGAAAAGAAAUCAACCGAGAUUCCGGAAGUAGCGGCGAGCGAAACCGGAACAGCCCUUAAGCUUAUUAUGUGUUAAUGGAAGGCUCUGGAAAGUGCCACGAUACAGGGUGAUAGUCCCGUACAUGAAAAGACAUUUUAAGUGAAAUCGAGUAGGUCGGAGCACGUGAAACUUUGACUGAAUAUAGGUGGACCAUCAUCUAAGGCUAAAUACUCCCAACUGACCGAUAGUGAACCAGUACCGUGAGGGAAAGGCGAAAAGAACCCCUGUGAGGGGAGUGAAAUAGAACCUGAAACCGUGUACGUACAAGCAGUAGGAGCAGACUUGUUCUGUGACUGCGUACCUUUUGUAUAAUGGGUCAGCGACUUAUAUUUUGUAGCGAGGUUAACCGAAUAGGGUAGCCGUAGGGAAACCGAGUCUUAACUGGGCGACGAGUUGCAAGGUAUAGACCCGAAACCCGGUGAUCUAGCCAUGGGCAGGUUGAAGGUUGAGUAACAUCAACUGGAGGACCGAACCCACUAACGUUGAAAAGUUAGGGGAUGACCUGUGGCUAGGAGUGAAAGGCUAAUCAAACCGGGAGAUAGCUGGUUCUCCCCGAAAUCUAUUUAGGUAGAGCCUCGGACGAAUACUUACGGGGGUAGAGCACUGUUAAGGCUAGGGGGUCAUCCCGACUUACCAACC
Molecule: ribosomal RNA, 895 nt
Filed under: Pseudoalteromonas porphyrae
Lineage: Bacteria; Pseudomonadati; Pseudomonadota; Gammaproteobacteria; Alteromonadales; Pseudoalteromonadaceae
Description: bacterial LSU rRNA
Rfam family: Bacterial large subunit ribosomal RNA
Source: RNAcentral